GGAGAGGUGCCCGGAGUGGCCUAUCGGGGACCGGACCCCUGGUCCGGUCGGGCUCCAGCAGCCCGCGCAGGUUCGAAUCCUGCCCUCUCCG
Molecule: transfer RNA, 91 nt
Filed under: Streptomyces hygroscopicus subsp. jinggangensis 5008
Lineage: Bacteria; Bacillati; Actinomycetota; Actinomycetes; Kitasatosporales; Streptomycetaceae
Also listed under: 1 other name
Description: tRNA-Arg (CCT) (tRNA-Arg-CCT-2-1)
Rfam family: tRNA
About the family: Transfer RNA (tRNA) molecules are approximately 80 nucleotides in length. Their secondary structure includes four short double-helical elements and three loops (D, anti-codon, and T loops). Further hydrogen bonds mediate the characteristic L-shaped molecular structure. tRNAs have two regions of fundamental functional importance: the anti-codon, which is responsible for specific mRNA codon recognition, and the 3' end, to which the tRNAs corresponding amino acid is attached (by aminoacyl-tRNA synthetases). tRNAs cope with the degeneracy of the genetic code in two manners: having more than one tRNA (with a specific anti-codon) for a particular amino acid; and 'wobble' base-pairing, i.e. permitting non-standard base-pairing at the 3rd anti-codon position.
Source: RNAcentral